AAAAAAAAAAAAAAAAGGCUUUUUUUCUCUCUGCUUUCGCUAGAAAGUUCUCUGGAAAGUGUCUUUUCUCUUUGAGGCCAAGCCUCGUUCUUGUGCCGAAACCGUCGGCUUCCCCUGCUCCUCUCAGGUGGAGAUGGCCUUUCCAUCCUUCCCGGAGCAUGGGUUUUCCCUCAUCCCCCUCCGGGUGGACUAUAUACCAGAGUUUCUCUUGCCACCGGCACCGGUUCUUUCCGUUGAUCUAU
RNAcentral lists this unclassified non-coding RNA (242 nucleotides) under Hevea brasiliensis (rubber tree). The record is from RNAcentral. Lineage: Eukaryota; Viridiplantae; Streptophyta; Magnoliopsida; Malpighiales; Euphorbiaceae.